This 222-nucleotide long non-coding RNA is filed under the name Elaeis guineensis (African oil palm). Its description in RNAcentral is "long non-coding RNA (EGUI_LNC020343)". Lineage: Eukaryota; Viridiplantae; Streptophyta; Magnoliopsida; Arecales; Arecaceae. The record is from RNAcentral.
ACGACUAAGCUCAUCGUUCAUAGUAGCCCUCAUGAUGCAAUGCACCAUUGUACUGUCAUUGAGCCACUUUUGGGAAGUGUCUCUCAUCGCAUCAUGUGUAUUGGCCACAGACUCCUCAGGUGCAGGAUCCGUAAUCACAUAUAGGAUCCUCUCAUGCUUCAAAAUAAUCUUCAACUUGCGAUACCAUCUAUUAAAGUUGGGUUUAGUAAGCUUAUCACUGUC